RNAcentral lists this transfer RNA (69 nucleotides) under Camelus dromedarius (Arabian camel). It matches the Rfam family "tRNA". From Rfam's summary of the family: Transfer RNA (tRNA) molecules are approximately 80 nucleotides in length. Lineage: Eukaryota; Metazoa; Chordata; Mammalia; Artiodactyla; Camelidae. The record is from Rfam by way of RNAcentral. RNAcentral also lists the same sequence under 1 other name.
AGUAUAGCUCAGUGGUAGAGGGCCUGCCUAGCAUGCACAAGGUCCUGGGUUCAAUCCCCAGUAACUCUA